AUGUUAAAUUGUGUUUAGCAAUUAUAAAGUGGUUGGUACUAUAUUAUAUGAUUUUCCUGUGUCGAAAUAAGCAUGGUAUUUUAAAGCGAGGUAUUUGAAAGGUAUUUACUUACUUUGAGUAUUUGGGACUCUUUGAGGCAAAGAUAUGACCACAAGCAUUUGACAUGAAAAAGAGAAGCUCAGAUGAUUCAAACGGUAAAGCUGGAGCAGAGCCAAAAUGAACAAGAAAAGAAGGAAGGCACCUCUGAGGCUGCUCCAUGGAGGAAGGAAACACCAGAGGAAAAGAUUUGCUUCAUGAAGAAAUGGCCUCACGCUGAUGAUAAUCUGGAAAUUAAGCCAUCAGCCAGAUUAAUAGACAGAUAAUCGUGCCUUCCCCACAUGCUGCGAGGCUCAAACAAAUUAACACGCAUAAAAUACCAAGCAGUGCUUUUGCCAUUUGAUAAGCCUUUUGUAAUCAUGCACAGAAGCCUGGAGGUUCUCUGACGAGCUUAUGGAAUAACAAAGCCAGUUUUUAUUGUGGAAGUUAUCACUACGGAGAUAGCACUGGCAAGACCGCAGCUAACUGGGAGCAGUGAUUGAUUUCAGCAAGACUUGAACCAAGGAAACCAGGUCUAUUCUGCCCCGGACUGGAGCACAUCAUCUAAGGCAGUUCUGAGCACUGAAGGGAAAUCAUAUUGAAGAUUUCAACCUUGAAGUUAAUUGCGAAGUUUGCUGCAGACGGCGAAUGUUUCAAAGAGACGAAAAGCCACAGAAGCAGAAGGAGAGUAAGCCGGGGGACUCUGCACAAGAGGCAAGCAGGGCAGACACUGCUGCUCUAACUUCAAAGGGCAGCAGACACGAGGUCCCCUAAGACCCGCCUGCUCGUGGGUCAUGGUUCUGCCUGAUCCGCACUCGACAGACUCUUCCUCCUCUGAAAUCCUUAUAACGCCUGCCUUCUGGGGCUUCUGAUCACGGAACGCUAGUGCGGAAAAGCACUUCAGAGGGCAGGAUUCUGGACCAAACCUCUUACAGACCAACAGAGUCCCGGAGAGGUUAAACAACUUGCCCUCCUAUGCACUUGAUCUCAGAGUCACUCAAGUGUUCUCCGGAGGUGGGGGAAGUCCAUGUCUUAGUUUUCUUUUUCUCUUUGCCAGAGCAAUGCAGCAUAGGCAGCACUAAAUAAAUAUGUUGUGCUGAAUCUCGAAAGUAUUCAAAAUUCCACCUGCACCAAAAUAAUCCACUGUGAAUGUUACCUAAACAUGGAUACGUGCCUUAAGUACACAGUCUUAAGAUAUAUUUACCGUAUGUUACAGGCAGAUCCAAAGGCUAGAUAAUUAUAAAUCUUUUUAGGUAUCCCCAUGAUACUUUACAUUUAUCAAGUGCUUUGCAAUAUGUAAGUUACUCUUUCGAGUCUCACAGUUGUUCCCAGGAGGUAGCAGGAGAUCUCAUCCUCACGUUACAUGUGAGGAAACGAGGGAGACUUGGAAAACUUAAGACUCGCUUGUGUUGAGCCUUUAAGUAGCCAAUACAGGAUUUGACCCAUACAUGAGGCCCAGUUCAUAGCCCUCUCCUCUAGACCAUGGUGCCUCGAAUGCCUGAAGAUUUUCUUCAACAACAAAAGCCUUUGCUUCUUUGAUUCUUCUACAGUAUAAAAUAAAAUUAAAGAAACUAGCAUUUUUUUCCCUUAACAGAGGGCUUACAAACCCCUGCCCUAUUGUUUGACCUACCGGGGCUUAAUGCAUACCUGAAACUCUUUCUUGCUCCAAAAGCUUAGUGUAAAGAUUGAAUAUCUGUUCCUGGACUUUGCACACAGAUCGUUUAAUCUUUUCCCUGCGGGUCACCAUGUAAGUGAGGUUCCGAACCUAGAACGUAGAGAAUAAAGAUUCUAAGUAAGCAAUACAUUAUAACAGGACUUCGGUGUUUUUUGUUUUUUUGUUUUUUUCCUCUUUACCUGAGAAAAAUUUGUCCUACUAGGUCCUUGAGUGACUUUUGAUAUCCAAAUGUACUUUAAACAUUUUAGCUAAUCUCUAAGCCUCCCUUUGGGUGCUAACAAGUAUUCUGCGUAUACCCCUCAAGGUGGGUAGCAGCACAAAAGAGGCUGUCAGAGGAGGUCCUGCCCCUGCACCACACCUGGCCACAGGCUCCUCCUGGCGAAGAGACAGACGCCCAUCGGUGUCCAAGUCCAAACAUGCCAGCUCUUGCCAAAGGACUCUGCUCAUCACCCCUUCAGUAUCCUCUUCCCAUGAAUUCUAUCGUCAGAGGCUUCAGAGCAGUUCAGAAGCCACCUCUGCUGCACUUUAUCAAGCAUCUUCUGAAGAUGGAACUAGACAGCAUUAGGGUCAAGGGCCAUCAGAGGGAGAAGCCCCUCACAAACAAUGUCCCCACACAGGGCUCACUAGAAGGCCAAGUAGUCACCAGGAAUCCAAGUAAACUUCUUUUGUUGACACUGAACUCUCUGAAGUACCUUGGAACUUACAGGCCGCUGUGUUCCUACAGCGUGUGAACACCUAGGGAACAUCCUUCUUGCUUUGCCAUUGACUUGCUAGCUCAGCCUCUCAAGGCCAGCUUUCUGUAUCACCACCUGA
This is a non-coding RNA of Delphinapterus leucas (beluga whale), 2564 nucleotides long. The record is from RefSeq and is a predicted model, not a curated record. Lineage: Eukaryota; Metazoa; Chordata; Mammalia; Artiodactyla; Monodontidae.